This 716-nucleotide ribosomal RNA is filed under the name Streptococcus sp. R31. RNAcentral describes it as "bacterial SSU rRNA". It matches the Rfam family "Bacterial small subunit ribosomal RNA", at positions 34 to 734 of the family's 1533-position model. Lineage: Bacteria; Bacillati; Bacillota; Bacilli; Lactobacillales; Streptococcaceae. The record is from RNAcentral.
CGCUGGCGGCGUGCCUAAUACAUGCAAGUAGAACGCUGAAGACUUUAGCUUGCUAAAGUUGGAAGAGUUGCGAACGGGUGAGUAACGCGUAGGUAACCUGCCUACUAGCGGGGGAUAACUAUUGGAAACGAUAGCUAAUACCGCAUAACAGCAUUUAACACAUGUUAGAUGCUUGAAAGGAGCAAUUGCUUCACUAGUAGAUGGACCUGCGUUGUAUUAGCUAGUUGGUGAGGUAACGGCUCACCAAGGCGACGAUACAUAGCCGACCUGAGAGGGUGAUCGGCCACACUGGGACUGAGACACGGCCCAGACUCCUACGGGAGGCAGCAGUAGGGAAUCUUCGGCAAUGGGGGCAACCCUGACCGAGCAACGCCGCGUGAGUGAAGAAGGUUUUCGGAUCGUAAAGCUCUGUUGUAAGAGAAGAACGUGUGUGAGAGUGGAAAGUUCACACAGUGACGGUAACUUACCAGAAAGGGACGGCUAAUUACGUGCCAGCAGCCGCGGUAAUACGUAGGUCCCGAGCGUUGUCCGGAUUUAUUGGGCGUAAAGCGAGCGCAGGCGGUUUAAUAAGUCUGAAGUUAAAGGCAGUGGCUUAACCAUUGUUCGCUUUGGAAACUGUUAGACUUGAGUGCAGAAGGGGAGAGUGGAAUUCCAUGUGUAGCGGUGAAAUGCGUAGAUAUAGGAGGAACACCGGUGGCGAAAGCGGCUCUCUGGUC